Molecule: ribosomal RNA, 499 nt
Filed under: uncultured bacterium
Lineage: Bacteria
Description: partial 16S ribosomal RNA
Rfam family: Bacterial small subunit ribosomal RNA
Source: RNAcentral
AUUGAACGCUGGCGGCAGGCUUAACACAUGCGAGUCGAACGAUGAGAAAGAGCUUGCUCUUUCGAUUAGUGGCGGACGGGUGCGUAACGCGUAGGAAUCUACCUAUUAGUGGGGGACAACUUAGGGAAACUUAAGCUAAUACCGCAUACGCCCUACGGGGGAAAGAAGGGGAUCGCAAGACCUUUUGCUAAUAGAUGAGCCUGCGUAGGAUUAGCUAGUUGGUGGGGUAAAAGCUCACCAAGGCGACGAUCCUUAACUGGUUUGAGAGAAUGAUCAGUCACACUGGAACUGAGACACGGUCCAGACUCCUACGGGAGGCAGCAGUGGGGAAUAUUGGACAAUGGGCGAAAGCCUGAUCCAGCAAUACCGCGUGUGUGAAGAAGGCCUUAGGGUUGUAAAGCACUUUCAAUUGGAAGGAAAACCUCGAAGCUAAUACCUUCGAGUUUGACAUUACCUUUAGAAGAAGCACCGGCUAACUCCGUGCCAGCAGCCGCGGUAA